Molecule: ribosomal RNA, 392 nt
Filed under: uncultured fungus
Lineage: Eukaryota; Fungi
Description: partial small subunit ribosomal RNA
Rfam family: Eukaryotic small subunit ribosomal RNA
Source: RNAcentral
GCUUGUCUCAAAGAUUAAGCCAUGCAUGUCUCAGUAUAAGCGCUUACAAUGCGAAGCUGUGAAUGGCUCAGCAAAAGCAGAGCGUUUCUUUGGUGGUCAUUGAUUACAUGGAUAACCGUGGUUAUUUUAGAGCUACUAUACAUGCGUCCAGACCCAACUUGUAGGAAGGAUUGUAGGUACAGAGCCAAUGCAGGCUCCGCAUGUGUGUGAUUCAUGUUAACCGAACGAAUCGCAUGGCACCAGCUGGCGAUGGACCAUUUGAGUGUCUGACCUAUCAGCUUCCCACGGUAGGAUAUGGGCCUACCGUGGCAAUGGCGGGUAACGGACACUUAGGCUUCGAUUCCGGAGAGGGAGCCUGAUAAACGGCUACCACGCCGAAGGAAGGCAGCAGG